UGCAGUCGAGCGACAGAUAAGGAGCUUGCUCCUUUGACGUUAGCGGCGGACGGGUGAGUAACACGUGGAUAACCUACCUAUAAGACUGGGAUAACUUCGGGAAACCGGAGCUAAUACCGGAUAACAUAUUGAACCGCAUGGUUCAAUAGUGAAAGGCGGCUUUGCUGUCACUUAUAGAUGGAUCCGCGCCGUAUUAGCUAGUUGGUAAGGUGACGGCUUACCAAGGCAACGAUACGUAGCCGACCUGAGAGGGUGAUCGGCCACACUGGAACUGAGACACGGUCCAGACUCCUACGGGAGGCAGCAGUAGGGAAUCUUCCGCAAUGGGCGAAAGCCUGACGGAGCAACGCCGCGUGAGUGAUGAAGGUCUUCGGAUCGUAAAACUCUGUUAUCAGGGAAGAACAAAUGUGUAAGUAACUGUGCACAUCUUGACGGUACCUGAUCAGAAAGCCACGGCUAACUACGUGCCAGCAGCCGCGGUAAUACGUAGGUGGCAAGCGUUAUCCGGAAUUAUUGGGCGUAAAGCGCGCGUAGGCGGUUUUUUAAGUCUGAUGUGAAAGCCCACGGCUCAACCGUGGAGGGUCAUUGGAAACUGGAAAACUUGAGUGCAGAAGAGGAAAGUGGAAUUCCAUGUGUAGCGGUGAAAUGCGCAGAGAUAUGGAGGAACACCAGUGGCGAAGGCGACUUUCUGGUCUGUAACUGACGCUGAUGUGCGAAAGCGUGGGGAUCAAACAGGAUUAGAUACCCUGGUAGUCCACGCCGUAAACGAUGAGUGCUAAGUGUUAGGGGGGUUUCCGCCCCUUAGUGCUGCAGCUAACGCAUUAAGCACUCCGCCUGGGGGAGUACGACCGCAAGGUUGAAACUCAAAAGGAAUUUGACGGGGGACCCGCACAAACGGUGAACCAUGUGGUUUAAUUCC
This 919-nucleotide ribosomal RNA is filed under the name Staphylococcus pasteuri. RNAcentral describes it as "bacterial SSU rRNA". It matches the Rfam family "Bacterial small subunit ribosomal RNA", at positions 56 to 953 of the family's 1533-position model. Lineage: Bacteria; Bacillati; Bacillota; Bacilli; Caryophanales; Staphylococcaceae. The record is from RNAcentral.